GAGCACGUAGGUGGGUUUGUAAGUCAGAUGUGAAAGCCUUCUGUUCAACGAAAGAAUUGCAUCUGAAACUGCGAGUCAUGAGUGUAGGAGGGGAGAAUGGAACUUCUGGUGGAGCGGUGAAAUGCGUAGAUAUCAGAAGGAACGCCGGCGGCGAAAGCGAUUCUCUGGCCUAUUACUGACACUCAGUGUGCGAAAGCUAGGGGAGCAAACGGGAUUAGAUACCCCGGUAGUCCUAGCCGUAAACGAUGGGCACUAAGUAGAGGGGUUUU
This 269-nucleotide ribosomal RNA is filed under the name uncultured Planctomycetales bacterium. RNAcentral describes it as "partial 16S ribosomal RNA". It matches the Rfam family "Bacterial small subunit ribosomal RNA", at positions 565 to 832 of the family's 1533-position model. Lineage: Bacteria; Pseudomonadati; Planctomycetota; Planctomycetia; Planctomycetales. The record is from RNAcentral.